CCUACGGGGCGCAGCAGUGAGGAAUAUUGGUCAAUGGGCGAGAGCCUGAACCAGCCAAGUCGCGUGAAGGAUGACGGCCCUACGGGUUGUAAACUUCUUUUGUCAGGGAGCAAUUGAGUCCACGUGUGGGCUUAGCGAGAGUACCCGAAGAAAAAGCAUCGGCUAACUCCGUGCCAGCAGCCGCGGUAAUACGGAGGAUGCGAGCGUUAUCCGGGUUUAUUGGGUUUAAAGGGUGCGUAGGCGGAAUAUCAAGUCAGCGGUAAAAAUUCGGGGCUCAACCCCGUCGUGCCGUUGAAACUGAUGUU
This 305-nucleotide ribosomal RNA is filed under the name uncultured bacterium. RNAcentral's name for it is "bacterial SSU rRNA". It matches the Rfam family "Bacterial small subunit ribosomal RNA", at positions 338 to 640 of the family's 1533-position model. The record is from RNAcentral.